This 105-nucleotide non-coding RNA is filed under the name Desulfovibrio sp. 86. Its description in RNAcentral is "Glycine". It matches the Rfam family "Glycine riboswitch aptamer". Rfam says of the family: This family represents the bacterial glycine riboswitch. Glycine riboswitches usually consist of two metabolite-binding aptamers domains with similar structures in tandem. The record is from RNAcentral. Lineage: Bacteria; Pseudomonadati; Thermodesulfobacteriota; Desulfovibrionia; Desulfovibrionales; Desulfovibrionaceae.
GGUAAGUGCGCGAGAGAGUCCUCUGUACUGAACGCCAGCGCAGAGGCACCGAAGGGGCAAGGCCAAAAGGCUGAAACUCUCAGGUAAAAGAAUCGCACAUCUUAG